CCUACGGGUGGCAGCAGUGAGGAAUAUUUGUCAAUGGACGAGAGUCAGAACCAGCCAAGUAGCGUGAAGGAUGACUGCCCUAUGGUUUGUAAACUUCUUUUAUAUGGGAAUAAAAUGUUCCACGUGUGGGAUUUUGUAUGUACCAUAUGAAUAAUGAUCGGCUAACUCCGUGCCAGCAGCCGCGGUAAUACGGAGGAUCCGAGCGUUAUCCGGAUUUAUUGGGUUUAAAGGGAGCGUAGGUGGAUUGUUAAGUCAGUUGUGAAAGUUUGCGGCUCAACCGUAGAAUUGCAGUUGAAACUGGCAGACUAGAGUAAAGUAGAGGGGGGAGGAAGUCGUGGUGUAGCGGUGAAAUGCUUAGAUAUCACGAAGAACUCCGAUUGCGAAGGCAGUUCACUGGACUGCAACUGACACUGAGGCUCGAAAGUGGGGGUAUCAAACAGGAUUAGAUACCCGAGUAGUC
This 460-nucleotide ribosomal RNA is filed under the name uncultured bacterium. RNAcentral's name for it is "partial 16S ribosomal RNA". It matches the Rfam family "Bacterial small subunit ribosomal RNA", at positions 338 to 795 of the family's 1533-position model. The record is from RNAcentral.